CCCAAAUCCCAGUAGUUGAUUAUGUGGAAACGUAUACCCUGUAGUGGAUGCGAUAAUCUUUAGAUGUUUAAGAGGCCUCGCAAUCUCAGAAUGACUUCAAAUAAAACUUAUGGAUGUCGUCACUAUAUACAUGUACGAGACAAUUACAAAUGACAUCUGCAUGAAAUCCCCGAAGGAUUAAAAAUGCUCAAAUCAUUAUUUAACAAUAACCCCAUAUGUGUUAUAUAAAUCUUAAAGGGACUGGUCCUAUGUGGUAUAAUUGACUUGGUUGAUACUUUGAAAAGAGGGGGUAUAAGUUUGAUAAAAUGAGCUAUAUAUACUUAUCAAUAUUUCACUCUUAGUGUUCAGUGUAAUUGGAGUUUACAGUGAUGUCUGAUGUCGUAAACACUAUCGAAAGGAACUGUCAAACUAUAAAGUUAAAAUUCUGAAAAGAUCUUUAUACAGUGUAGUUAUUCUCGACCCACAGUUCUAGUAUAUC
Molecule: long non-coding RNA, 478 nt
Filed under: Helianthus annuus (common sunflower)
Lineage: Eukaryota; Viridiplantae; Streptophyta; Magnoliopsida; Asterales; Asteraceae
Description: hypothetical non coding rna
Source: RNAcentral